GCAAGUCGAACGCGAAAGGUUCUUCGGAACCCGGUAGAGUGGCGCACGGGUGAGUAACGCGUAGAUAACCUACCCUAAAGUUUGGGACAACCUUCCGAAAGGAGGGCUAAUACCGGAUAAUACUGUUCGCCUACUGGCUUUCAGUUAAAAGAUUUAUCGCUUUAGAAUGGGUCUGCGUAGCAUUAGCUAGUUGGUAAGGUAAGAGCUUACCAAGGCUACGAUGUUUAGCGGGUCUGAGAGGAUGAUC
This 247-nucleotide ribosomal RNA is filed under the name uncultured bacterium. RNAcentral's name for it is "partial 16S ribosomal RNA". It matches the Rfam family "Bacterial small subunit ribosomal RNA", at positions 57 to 305 of the family's 1533-position model. The record is from RNAcentral.